Glycine soja is the source of this 2099-nucleotide long non-coding RNA. RefSeq lists it as uncharacterized. Lineage: Eukaryota; Viridiplantae; Streptophyta; Magnoliopsida; Fabales; Fabaceae. The transcript has 2 exons. The record is from RefSeq and is a predicted model, not a curated record.
GUCUCUAGAGACCUUGAUCGAACAACUAAUUGUUGUGUCAUGCAACCCAAAAAUGGAACUCCUCCUGGUAAUGUAUUAUGGAGCUCAACAAACACCAUUUCUCUCAUUUCAAUACUAACCCAUUUCUCUUCUUUACUUCAACAACAACACAAACCCUGCAUUUUCAUCAACCCCUUCUCUUCCAAAUCCCAAUCCCAAACCAAAGCCCCAAACUUCACCCUCUUCUACCUCAUCAACACCGAGAAGUUGUUUUUCGAGAGGUUUGUGGGGGCAGUUUCAGGAUCGUGUGUCGGGGCUUAUGGAGGUGUAUAGAGGGCGCGUUGAUCACCUGGGUGUGGUGCUGUAGAUUGUAAAGGUUUCUGCUGGCUCUUCAAUUGUUCAGUUGUUGUUCAUCACAUUGCUAUGAUCGACCUCGAUUUUGCAUUUUGUGCUUGAAGAUUUCAGUUGUAGGCUUCAGUAGUUUGGAAUUUAUAGCAUACUGAUUCAGGGGUCGUUCAGCUAAAUCCUCUUACUCGUGAUUUUGAAUUGUGGUAUCAUGGUUGAUUUAUUUCUUUUCCUAGCACUAAAUAGUACUACUAUUUAGUGUUCUACGGUCUAUGAUUGGCCUUGAUUUUGAGUUGUGUAUGUUUUGGGGCAGAGCCAUAGAGGGAGUUUGUAGUUUGAGUCAUAUUUAUGGCAUACUGAUUCAGUGGUCAUUUAGCUAAAUCUGGUUAUUGAUGAUUUUAAAUUGUGGCAUCAUGGUUGAUUUAUUACUCUUCCUGUUCCUGGCACCAAAAAGAGUGCCUAGUGUUUUAUAUUAUAGUCUAUGAAGGUUUCUUCAGGAAUUGUCUCUACUCCAAUUGUGGUUUAUUUCAUUCCUAAGAUUGACUUCCAGGUUGUCAUUUGGUGACCUUUUGUAGUGACAGGUUCUAGUCUCAAACAAUUUCUGCACUUCGGGUAAGGUUGAGACUGUACAAUUGACUCUACCAUAUAGUAGUGAAAGCCUUGUGCAUCAUCAGGGGCUUUGGAGUGUGGUGAUUAUUCUUGUAGUACAUCUUAACCUAUUAAUCUUGCUGGAUACUGAUAUAAGCAACUUUGGUGGAUUAACCAUGGAAGACGACGAUAUUAACAGGGGGUACUAAUUAGACCUGUAGUUCACUUUCCCUCAGUUUUCACUUUUUUGCUUACCCAUCAAAUUUCUAUAAGUGCAUACUUUUAUGUGGAAUCAUGGAUACAUCCAAAUGAUUUUAAAUUUUUUAUCUUCAUGGGUAAUGAGUUUUAUGAUAUUGAUAUUGUUUGUAGUGAAAUAUUGGAUUAGCUACUGGAAAGCAAGUGUAACCUUUACUCUUCCCCAUUGUUUUCAUAAACAAAGGUUGUUCUUUUAUAAAUAAUUCAUUCUUUUUUUUGCGAGGACAUCUAAGAUCAAUAUGCUUCAAGUUCAAAAUAGGUGAGAUUUGUGAUUAUCAGAACUGAAGUUUUAGAAGUAUUUUUGUAUGAAGAUAUAUGUUAUAGUUAUUAUGGAUCUUAGUUCUGUACUGAUGCCUUGAUAUGUUAAUAUUUUUGCUAUGAUCUCCCUUGUUCUUGGCACCCACCUUAUCUUUAUUGCACAUUUGGUACCUGAGUAUGAGACUGUAGUUUGUUUUUGGAGUCAAAUGAUAACUUCCUUUAUGUCAGAAGACUUGGAAUAGCAUGUCUGUACUUGUCUGCUAUCCUAAAUUUGGUUAUAUAUAUUUUCCCAAAAGCAAUAUCUCUUUCAACCAUUCUGAACUAAAGUGAUCUAGAUUACAAUAACGUUAAUUUAAGAUGAUUCCAAACACGAAAUGUUAUUUAGAAUCUAUCUUGGAGUGCCUCAAGCAUACAUCUCAUUUCUAGAAACCAAUUUUCAAGCAUUCCAAAUUUUCUGAAGCAUUCAAAAGAUAGAUGGAUAAGGAAAUGGGAUUAGGUCCCUUGAAGACAAAUCUGUUCCUUGCAACACAAGUGCUUGCAAAGUUGAGUCAAACAAUGUAAAAUGGAAUAUACAUCGUCAAAUUCUAGGGGACUCUAGGGAAAUACAAUUGUUUUCAUUUGUGCAAAAUAUUAUCUUGUUUUCCUAUAUAUGUACGAUGUUGAAUUUGGAGUGA